Molecule: long non-coding RNA, 3085 nt
Filed under: Mus musculus (house mouse)
Lineage: Eukaryota; Metazoa; Chordata; Mammalia; Rodentia; Muridae
Description: long non-coding RNA chrX:74393338-74396423
Source: RNAcentral
AAAGCUGAGCCGCCUAGCUUCCUACAGUGUCACUGCUUCAAGAUGAAAUCUCCUUCUAGACUUUGAGGUACUAUACACUUUACAGUUCAUGUUUGCUUAACUCUAUGUAACCCAGGCUGUUCUCAAACUUGGAGCGAUUCACCUGCUUCAGGCUCUCAAAUGUUGGAAUUACGGGCAUAAAACACCAGAGCCCCCAUUCCCACUUCCUCCACACGUCCUCUUAGGUGAGCGAUCUAUUUCUAUAUUUGAUGAGCUGAAGCUCCGAUUGUGACUUGAUAUCAGAGCUUUCAUGGCUCAUAAGAGGAUGGAUGCGGGGACACAGAUAAUGACUUAAGGUUGAUAUGUGUUCUUUAAGAGCAUGGACGGUUCAGAAGCACAUGCGGAGGUAAACCUGAGCCUUUGGUUGCUUUCUUUCUGCUUAGUGUUCUUUCGUGAGAGCGUUCUGUUUUAUGUAUCAAUCAGUGAAGGGAUGUUUGGAACAUUGCUCCUGACCCUCAUGUUUGAGCCUUUUCCCCUGACCGCCUACAGUGCCAGGGCAGCUGGGCCAGUCCUUUUAAGCUGGAUCUAUCUGUGUCUCAGGCAGCUGCAUUCCUGUCCUUUGACCCAAUGGUCUUACUUACAGGAACUCCACCCCACUUCCAUAAUGCUCCAAAAUACAGAAAAGUUUACAGAAGCACUGUUUUGGUUAGAUGAUAGCGUUUUCAAUUUGGUUACACUUGUAAUCUCAGCACUUGGAAAGUGGAGACGGGAGAGGAGGAUAAAGGGUUUAAAGCAUCCUCGGCCACUUAGCAACUUUGAGGUCAGCCUUAGCUGCAUGAAACCUGUCUCAGGGAAUCUGAUGUCUUAUUCUGACCAUCUCAGGCGCCAGGCAUGCAUGUGGUACACGUACCACAUGUGGUACAUGUAGGGAAACCACUUAUAUAAAAAAAAUAAAAUUUCAAAAAUUGUAGGAAGCUGGAGAGAUGACUCAGUGGUUAAGGGCACAUACUGUUCUUGCAGGAUACCCGGGCUGGAUUCCUUACACUCACAUAAGGCAGCUCACAACCGCUUCAGGGGAUCUGGCACCUCUCUGAUCUCUUCCUCCUCUUCCUCCUCCUCCUCCUCCACACACACACACAAAUAAUAAUUAAUUUUUAAAAUAAAACAUUAAGUAAAGAUAAAAUAGUAACAGCAACAACAACAAAAUGAAUAUUAAAAAAAAAAGAAUACAGUAGUUUCCAUAUUGACUGAGUACUUCCUCAUAGGCACUCUCCAAUGCUUGUGGUCAAGGGCAUCUGUAGACCAGGCUGGCCUCAAAUGUACAGAAUGAUGGAAUUAAAUGCCUUCUGAAUGAUGGAAUUAAAGGCGUAUGCUAACACACCCAGUCCUGCUACAUAUUUUUUGAGAUGGGAAUUUCGUAUAUUCUUUAACUCACUAUGUUUCCAAGGAUGUCCUUGGACCUCUUGCUUAUACCUACUUAGUUCUGGGAUUAUAGGUGGAGAUCCAGGUCUUUUAUGACUCAUGGGACAAACUUUCAGUCUAUUUUCUCCAGGACUUUGUGUGUGUGUGUUCUGAAAAUUAAAUUUAUGGCUUUUGACAUACAUAUGCCUUAUGGCUGACACAAAACCUCAGCCCUUUAUCAUUUAAAAUGGACAAUUAAAGCUAGGGAUGGUGGCACAUGCCUUUAAUCCCAGUAUUCUGGAGACAGGGGCAGGUGAAUCUCUGUGAGUUUGAGGCUAGCCUGGUCUACAGAGUGAGUUCUAGGACAACCAGGGCUACAUAGAAAAACCCUGUCUUGGAAAAAAUACAAUUAAAUGGUUAAAUUAUAUUCACAUAUAUAUAUAUGAAUGAGAUGCAUAAGCUGGGGCAUUCAAGUCUUGGCAUUACAUGAUAGGCAGUAAAGGAAUGCUAUCCUUCAAAACUGAUGUUUGUUUGAUACAUCUGGAAAAGGAUCUUUUUGACCUGGGGAGAAAUAACUCAUUCUGUAAUCAGAGGCUAGUGUAUUUUUACAAGCUGGCCAUAGCUGUCUGGGAACACUCGGUUGCCUCUUUCUGAUAGCUCAAGAAUGGGAGCCUUAUCACUUCAAGGGCAUUAAUUUUCUGCCUCCUUCAAAGGUAGGGGACAUCUGCACCAAGGUGGGAGUGCUGGCUGUUUAACUUGGCAUGGGGACUAGGGAGUGAGAGACUCAGCGCACAGAGACAAGGGUGGGUUACCUUGUGUCUCUUCACUAUGACACCUGUAUCUGCACACAUGCACACUAACUUUAAAUACAUGUAAUGAAAUCAGAGUGAAGUGAACACAAAAAGGCUCACACUUACUGUGCAUGCAAAGAUAACCUUGAACUCCAUGUUCUCCUGUCUCUGUUUCUUUUUAUUUAUUUAUUUAUUUAUUUAUUUAUUUAUUGUAUACACUGUAGCUGUCUUCAGACACUCCAGAACAGGGCACCAGAUCUCAUUACGGAUGGUUGUGAGCCACCAUGUGGUUGCUGGGAUUUGAACUCAGAACCUUUGGAAGAGCAGUCGGCGCUCUUAACCGCUGAGCCAUCUCUCCAGCCCCCCUGUCUCUGUUUCUUAAAUGCUGGGAUUAUAGGAUAUGACAGCAUAUCUGGCUCUAGUCCACAUUUUCAACAUUUGACAGAUAAAUUUUAUUAAUUUUUAAAUUUUAAAUUUAUUUUAUUUGUUUUAUUUUAUGUGCAUGGCUGUUUUGCCUGCGUGUAUGUCUGUGCACCACGUCUAUACUUGGUGCUUUUGGAGGCCAGAAGAAGGUGUUGCAUUCCCUCGAGCUGGAGUUACAGAUGUUUCUGAGCUGUUAUGUGGGUGCUGGGAACUGAGCCUGGGUCCUCUGAAAAGGCAAUACAUACUCUUAUCAAUGAGAAAUCUCUUCAGACCAAACCUCUAAAUAUUUCACUUUUGUUGAUAUUUUGGUUGGGCAAACAAAAAUAUAUGUGAGAUUCUACAUGUAGCUUUAGAAAGCCACUGUGCUCUGUCCAGAUUGAACAGGGCAGGGAAGUUAGCUAAAUGCUGUCGUAUUAAGUAUUGGUGUUUUUAAAACCCCAUCUUUGUUUUUAAAGAUUUCAUGUUUGUAUCAUUAAAAGACAACUUGAAUA